UUCGUCUUUCUUAUUAUUGGUAUGUCCAGAGUCAUAUCUGUGUAUAUAUGUAUCUCGUAUGUCCAUCGUAAGGUCUCAGUGGCAUUUUUUUUAAUUGUUUAUUUUUUCGCCAUUCAUCUGGGUACAGUCAUAGUGGGGGUUCCUUCCAAAAUCUAUUGCGUCUGAAAUUAUCGUGUACAUGCUAAUAAUUUAACAUUUAUUACGCGAUAUGCCUAACGGCAAAGCGACAUCUAUUGGUGGGGUGUUCGUUUAGGGGAGUUAUCUUUUCUUAUCUUCUGG
Molecule: long non-coding RNA, 279 nt
Filed under: Mytilus galloprovincialis (Mediterranean mussel)
Lineage: Eukaryota; Metazoa; Mollusca; Bivalvia; Mytilida; Mytilidae
Source: RNAcentral